This 431-nucleotide long non-coding RNA is filed under the name Rattus norvegicus (Norway rat). Its description in RNAcentral is "long non-coding RNA NONRATT016206". Lineage: Eukaryota; Metazoa; Chordata; Mammalia; Rodentia; Muridae. The record is from RNAcentral.
CCAGGAUUUCUGUUCAAGAACAGUAUCAAGGUGAGUUGCCUUUGCCUGGAGGAGAAUGUGGAGAGCGAUCCCUGUAAGUUUGCCCUGACAUCCAGGACGGGCGAUGCCGUGGAGACACUGGCCAGGGCACCUGGACACCCAACUUCUCCAGAGAUGGCUGGGCCUCAGGCCUCCAGAGAGGAUGCGGGGCAGGUCGAGUGCUUCUGCACCGGGCUCACUUUGCGGUCACUUGCAUUGUAUUCUCAGGCUGACGGGUGUCUCUGCUGGGCUCCCCCAACUCUGUGGGCUCCUCACUGUCCUCCGGCUGUUUCCUACAGGGCAGGUGACCCAGCCCAUAACACUCCUGAAGGCAUGCGUGAGUGCACAGAACUGUUCUAACGAGUGUAUGUUUGAUCGCUUUAUAAAUUUUUAAAUACAUUUCCCUAAAAGGG